Long non-coding RNA from Aegilops tauschii subsp. strangulata, 5336 nucleotides. RefSeq lists it as uncharacterized. NCBI's taxonomy places the organism in Eukaryota, Viridiplantae, Streptophyta, Magnoliopsida, Poales, Poaceae. The record is from RefSeq and is a predicted model, not a curated record.
GGUAAACGAUUCGACCUGAGCCGAGACGUACAGGCCCUUCGUUCUCGCACAGUCCGCUCCUUCUCGAACCCUCACGCCGCCGCCGCCGCCAGUAGCGUCGCCACGCCCGCUUCCCCCCGUCGCCGGCGGGUCCUGUCCUCCGCGUACAGAUCCGGCCAUCCCAGCCUCGUUCCCGCCGUAUCCCUUCGACAGCGCAGCUACUCCCGUCGCCAGCGUGGAGCAGCGACCCCAUGGCAAGGACGAGCUCCCCCGGACGCCAUUGACCCCGAGACAACCGCGGGAGCCAGGAGCAGCGACCCGACGACCGAGCCCCCUUGCCAAUCCCCAAGGAUGGUGUGCCCAAACUGCCAUUCGCAUUUCGAGAGUGACAACGAGCAGAGAUUUUUUGGAGUUGUCAUUCGUGAGGGCUCCAAAGCCACCCUCACCAACAGUGAACAUCCCGUGCACAGCCAGUUGAUAUGCCGUCGUUGCAAGUCUAUCAUUGACACACAACUGGUUUUUUUUUCGCUACAAGGCGUUGUCUUAGCUGCAAGUCCACCAUCAACACACAGCUGUGGGCUUCCUACACAACGGCGCUCCCAGUUUGCACGUCCAUCAUUGACAUGCAAUUGUGGGUUUUCUUUCUAGUUGUUUUUACUCUAGUUGCAAGUCUAUCAUUGACACACACUAGGAUCUUUUUUGUAGUUAUUUUUGCAAGUUGACCCUCGACUCGCAAGGUUUUUUGUGUAGUUUUUUCCACAUCACUUGCAAGUCGACCCUCAACUUGCAACUGGGUUUCAUGUAGUUGUAAUCGACCCAGUUGCAAGUGCACCAUCAACUCGCAACUCGGACCUGUGGUUCUUUGUUUCAUGCCACAUGCAAGUCGAUCCUCGACUCGCAACUAGUUUUUUUUGUAGCCGUAGUCACCCCAGUUGCAAGUCGGCCAUCAACUCGCAACUAGGCUUGUACUUUUUUGUUUCAUGCCACUUGCAAGUCGACCCUCGAUGCGCAAUUGAGGUUUUGUGUAGUUGUAAUCGCCCUAGUUCCAAGUGCAUCAUCGAGUCUCAACUCGGCCUGUACUUUUUUUGUUUCAUUCCACUUGCAAGUUGACCUUCGACUCGCAAUUGGAAUAUUUUGUGUAGUUGUAGUCACACUAGUUACAUGUCCACCAUCGACUCGCAACUCGGCUCGUGGUUUUUUUUUUCACGUCACUUGCAAGUCGACCCUCGACUUACAACUGGGGUUUAAUGUAGUUGUAAUCGCCCCAGUUGCAAGUCCACCAUCGACUCGCAACUCGGACCGUAGUUCUCGUUUCAUGCCACUUGCAAGAUGCCCACUAACUCACAACUUGGGUUAUUUCUGUAGUUGUAGUCACGCCAGUUGCAAGUCCACCAUUCACUCGCAACUCGGCUCGUAGUAUUUUGUUUUACAUCACUUGCAAGUCGACCCUUGACUUGCAACUGGGGUUUCCAUGUAGUUGUAAUCGCCCCAGUUGCAAGUCCACCAUCGACUCGCAACUCGGCCUGUACUUUUUUGUUUCAUGUCACUUGCAAGUUGACCUUCGACUCGCAACCAGGGUUUAUUUGUGUAGUUGUAGUCACCGCAGUUGCAUGUCCACUAUCAACUCGCAACUCGGCCUGUACUUUUUGUUUCUUGCCAUUUGCAAGUUGACCCUCGACUCACAACUGUUUUUUUUUGCGUAGUUGUAGUUACGCCAGUUGCAAGUUGACCAUCGACUUGCAACUCUGCUCGUAGUUUUUUGUUUCACGUCACUUGCAAGUUGAUGGAUCGACUUGCAACUGGGGUUUCUAUGUAGUUGUAAUUGUCCUAGUUGCAAGUCCACCAUCGACUCGCAACUCGGACCCGUAAUUCUUGUUUCAGGCCCAAUUGCAAGUCGCCAUUUGACUUGCAAACUGGGUUUUUUGUAUAGUUGUAGUCAUGCCAAUUGCAAGUCUAUCAAUGACUCACAACUCAGCUCGUAGUUUUUGUUUCACGCCACUUGCAAGUCAACCCUCGACUUGCAACUGGGUUUUUUAUAUAGUUUUAAUCGCCCUAGUUGCAAGUCUACCAUCUACUCGCAACUCGGACCCGUAGUUCUUUGUUUCAUGUCACUUGCAAGUCGACCCUCGACUCUCAACUAGGUUUUUUUGUAGUCGUAGUCACCCUAGUUGCAAGUGCACCAUCGACUCCCAACUCGGCUUGUACUUUUUUGUUUCAUGCCACUUGCAAGUUGACCCUCGACUUGCAAUUGGGGUAUUUUUUGUAGUUGUAGUCAUGCCCUGUUGCAAGUCCACCAUCAACUCGCAACUCGGCUUGUAGUUUUUGUUUCACGUCACUUGCAAGUCGACCCUCGACUUACAACUGAGGUUUAAUGUAGUUUAUAAUCACCCCAGUUGCAUGUCUACCAUCGACUCGGACCCGUAGUUACAUGCCACUUGCAAGUCACCCUUUGACUUGCAAACUCGGUUUUUUGUGUAGUUGUAGUCACGCCAGUUGCAAGUCCACCAACGACUCGCAACUCGACUCGUAGUUUUUGUUUCACGCCACUUGCAAGUCAACCCUCGACUUGCAACUGGGGUUUUCAUGUAGUUGUAAUCGCCCAGUCGCAAGUCCACCAUCGACUCGCAACUCGGACCCAUAGUUCUUUGUUUCAUGCUACUUGCAAGUCGACCCCCAACUCGUAACUGGUUUUUAGUAGUCAAAGUCGCCCUAGUUGCAAGUCGACCAUCAACUCGCAAGGCUUAUACUUUUUGUUUCGUGCCACUUGCAAGUCAACCCUCGAUGCGUUAUUGGGGUUAUUGUGUAGUUGUAAUCGCCCCAGUUGCAAGUACACCAUCGACUCGCAACUCGGCCCUAUACUUUUUUGUUUCGUGCCACUUGCAAGUUGACCUUCGCCUCGCGAUUGUUUUUUUUGUAGUUGUAGUAACGCCAGUUGCAAGUCCAUCAUCGACUCGCAACUCGGCUCGUAGUUUUUUUUUUCACGUCACUUGCAAGUCGACCCUCGACUUGGGGGCAAAAUGUUGAGAUAGAUGGGGUUCAUAUCUACUUGAUACAGAGAGGAUACAAUUUAUAAUUUUUUCCCAAGCACUUUACUCAUUUUAUUUGGUCCAAAAGAAUAACCGACUUAAAUCUUUGUUUCUACUGGACAAAAGGGAUAGCAUGUUAACCACCAACUGAAAUUUAUUUGUUAGUCAGUAAGAGGAUUUGAUGGUGUUGCAAACUCAUGACCCUGAGAGGCGAAUGAGUAAGGUGGAAUCAACUGCAGAAAUUGUUGUCCAUUGUUUUGCAUUUGAAAAAGCCUCAGGUCAAACACCACUGCUGGGUACUGGGAUGCACAGGCUACAAUCAAAACAAAGCAGUAAGUUCAUCUCAUGUUUUUUCCUGUCAUUUUUGUUUUUAUGGUCCCAUGUGUAUUUAUGAAUCAAUAUUUAUUUAUUUUUCUUUUUUCCCAAAUCAUACCUGAGUGCCAACGUAGUCCCCUGCAUAGCUAUCUUCAUUUCCCGCGGUCAUCAGUUUUUACAAAAUUUAACAUUAUGCUUUUCUUCGCCUAAAGAUUUUAUGGAAUGGAGGAGCACACCCCUAAGUCUUUUUCUUAGGGGCAACAUGGUAACAUUUGUCAUAUGUUGUUUUCUUUCUUAUCAGGUGCCAACACUUCUUUUGUGAACAUGCAUAAUACACUGAGAUGCAGUCAAAUUCUAAGUUCUUCUUUCUUAGAUGAAAAAUUCUAAAUUCAGAGUCAGCACUUUUUAUUUUGUUCUCUAACAAGGUAAUGAUGCAUCUUUUCCUCUUUCUUUUCCCUAGUGAGGCCAAAUAUAUUUUCUUGAUCAGGUUGUAUAUAGAAAUGUAGUUACAGUUUUUUUUGGAAAGGCAAUGUUUUUUGCUGAAUAAAUGGGAACAAAUGCCAUCUGAAAGUUGUUGCACGCAAACUGGAACAAGGAGGUGUUUUUGUUCUGAUCUUUCAGUUAGCACAUGUAUGAAGCUCAACCCAUCUGAAACAAACAAGCUAUCUGGCAUGUAAAAGAUAGUGAUAUGCAGUUUUUCUCUGACCAGUUUCUAAGGCUAGAUCAGUUUUCUGAGCCUAGAUCACACUGACAUGCACUUUAUUUAGGCGCAACAACACAAUGUUGUCUGUGUGUUCAUGUAGAUAUGGUCUGCUUAGAAAGACUUUGCUCUGAUUUUUUUGACGACAAAAAACUGUUUAACUGUUGUGUGUUUUUUCCAGAGACCAGGACCAAAUGUUUGAUGGAAAAAGAAAGGAUAAUCAUGAGCAAAAAAUAAAGAUCUACCAUCAGAAAUUAUCUAGAAGGUUGUACACGAUCUUGCCAGAAAGGAUCUACAAGGAGAGGCCAAAUUUUGUACUUGGGUUUUCGCAACUUUUCGUCAGCCACCUAAGCUUCUUUUGCAACUGUUUUUUUUUUUCUGCCAACAAGGCCCAGGUCUGUGCGCACAUGUUGCUCUUUUUUUUUGUCAAACAAACAAAUAGACAAAUAAAGCCCAACAAACAAGGUCCAGGGGCAGGGGGUAGUUCGGCUGGGUGGGGUGGACUGGCCAGACACAAACAAACAAUACAAACAAGCGUCUAUGUGUGUGAGGGUGAUCGGGUGCAACCAGGCUGGUUGUUUGAUUAGAGGAUGAUGUCAGCUUAGUCUCACAUCUAGAUGCAACAUAGACAGACCCUAUUCAGGACCUCUUAACUGGCUUUAUCCUCUCUUUUAACCUGUCAAUUAUUUCCGUCUCGGUGUUUAAUUCUGUCUCAUUGGGUUGGAACUGCAGGAGCCAUGCCCUUGAUUCUUGCUCCGAAAGUGGACCUGGAGAAAUUACAGGUUCGACGAUUAUCUAGACAAAUUCAAGACAAGUAAUUCGGAACGGAGGGAGUAUUACUUAGUGCGUUUGGUCAUGGUACUGUUUCCCCAAAGGUGCACAGCAUGUUGUGUGGUGGAUAGGGGAAGCUGAGGCGACGACUGGCGACUGUUCUCUUUACAACUGGCGUGGUUGAGAGGCUAGGGAGUAGGUCAUUUUGCUAUUUGGUCAGCGAUGGAGAUGAAUUCGGGAGAGAUGUGGCUGGGAGUUGUACCGGUCAUUUUUCUGUCUCUAUAUUAUCCAUUUGCACUAAUCGGUAACAGUUUUUUGAGCAGGCAAUAGUGUAGCAUGCAUGAACAGAAAAAUUGUAUAAGGCGAGGAGGACAAUCUGAGCGACCAACAUUAUGUUUUUUUACAGAACGACCAACAUUAUGUUUUUUUACAGAACGACCAACAUUAUGUUGAGUAUUGAGAUGUAGGUAAGGCACGUAUAAUCUGAAUUGAGCCAUAUGGAGGGCAUGUAUAGUCUGUAUGUGCAGUCUUAAUUGUAUGUUGAA